Oncorhynchus keta (chum salmon) is the source of this 2597-nucleotide RNA transcript. It is a transcript of the gene named BTB/POZ domain-containing protein kctd15-like, with no coding region annotated. NCBI's taxonomy places the organism in Eukaryota, Metazoa, Chordata, Actinopteri, Salmoniformes, Salmonidae. The record is from RefSeq and is a predicted model, not a curated record. The transcript has 6 exons.
CUAGUGUUUGAGGAGUAAAACGUAUCUGCCUGCAAGCAUCUCCAUCUACUAGCGCGCAAUAACUGAAAUGGCACAUUUUGCCUAAGGCGGUUUUUGCAAUGGCAUAAUGCAUGACGAUAGACGUAAUUUGGCUUUAAUGCCAGGGAGAUGUUUAAAUAUAAAACUAUUGGGGAGAAAGACGAGAACACUACAGAACUGAGAGGAUCUGCGGGCGCCCUGAAUAUGCGACAGUUUUAUUUAAGAGCCUAUCAUUUAAAUAGGUUUAUGGACAUUCACAGUAUCAUUUUAUCAAAACGUUACAUGUAUGUUUUUUUAGGACGAACGUAGCCAAUUUUCACACUCCUAAAUCCGAUGAGUGAGUUAUGACAAUUGGGAGCAAGAUUAAACCGAACACUGCUACCCAUGCAGCAGACCAGACUGCUUGCUCUCCGUUGGAAUAAAACUGCGAUGUUUGCGUGUGAAAUAAGAAACAGUGGAUCUCAUUUUCACCUUGAACUGAGAUGUGGCGAGAUAGAAAGGGCUGCUCUAUUAUAACAUAAUCCUUGCCCUGCAGGCGUUUGAAUAGCCCAGAGCAAGAAUUCUUCUAGCCCGCUUCUUAUUUAGGGACCGACUGGCUUUCUUCUCAUAAAACUCGACGGUUUCAUCAUAUCAGAAAAGGAAAGACCCGGACAAAGACAGAUAUACAGCAAACGACGACCAAACUGGCAUAAAACAGCGAUACAAUUGGAAGGGAGAAGAGAUUACUAUGUCUUCUCUAUCCGUGUCCUCCCAGGAGGGAAGAAGCAUGUCCAGGAUGUCUAUGAGUCGUUCUCCAGUUUCUCCAAUGAAUGCCCAGGGCAUCCCAUCACCGGCCCAGCUGACUAAAGCCAACGCCCCGGUCCACAUCGACGUGGGAGGACACAUGUACACCAGCAGCCUGGGUACUCUCACCAAAUACCCAGAGUCUAGAAUCAGUCGUCUGUUUAACGGAACAGAGCCCAUUGUACUGGACAGCUUGAAGCAGCACUACUUCAUCGACAGGGAUGGAGAUAUAUUCAGAUACAUCCUCAGCUUCCUCAGGACCUGCAAACUACUGCUCCCAGAGGACUUCAAGGACUUCUCCCAGCUAUACGAGGAGGCUCGCUAUUACCAACUGACACCCAUGGUCCGCGAGCUGGAGCGCUGGCAGACGGAGCAGGAGGGCCAGAAGAGACCGCCCUGCGAGUGCCUGGUGGUCCGAGUGACCCCUGACCUGGGGGAGAGGAUUGCCCUCAGCGGAGGGAAGGUGCUCAUCGAAGAGAUCUUCCCCGAGACUGGAGACGUCAUGUGUAACUCUGUGAAUGCCGGCUGGAACCACGACCCCACGCAUGUAAUCCGAUUCCCUCUCAACGGCUACUGCAGGCUCAACUCAGUUCAGGUUCUGGAGAGGUUGUUCCAGAAGGGUUUCAGCGUGACGGCGUCAUGUGGCGGCGGAGUUGACUCCUCCCAGUUCAGCGAGUACGUCCUGUGUCGCGAGCUCCGCAGGGGUCAGCCCACCGACACCACCAUCCACAUCAAACAAGAGCCUCUGGACUAGGUUGGGAGGAACAGAGGGACCUGUGACAGAUCAACACGUCCGGUGCUGAUUUUCGAGUCCUAUUUACACAACUUUAACAGUGGAAAAACACACAAGGACUCUUCCUGCUUGGGAAUAUAAUUUGCCAGUGGCAAUGUAGACUGGACUAGCAAGAUGUGAGAGGGUUGUGAUUCUAUGGAGAGUCAACGACACGAAAGGGAUCCUCUGAGAUGAGUCUGUCUGAGGACAAUGACCCAACACACCUUCAGGCUGUGUAAGGGCACUUUGACCAAGGAGAGUGAUGGAGGGCUGCAUCAGAUGACCUGGCCUCCAAUCACCCGACCUCAACCCAAUUGCUUGGGAUGAUUUCGAGCGCAGAGUUAAGGAAAAGAAGACAACAAGUGGUCAGCAUAUGUGGGAACUCCUUGAAGCUGGUUGAGAGAAUGCCAAGAGUGUGCAAAACUGUCAAAGGGUGACUACUUUUGAAGAAUCUCAAAUAUUUGUAACACUUUUUUUGGUUACAUGAUUCCAUUGUUUUGAUGUCUUCACUAUUCUACAAUGUAGAAAAGUCAAAAUAAAAACCUUUUGAAUGAGUAGGUGUCAACUUUUGACUGGUACUAAUGUAAAACUUUCCUGACAAAUGUUCAUGAUGUGAAAACUGGGAUUUUGUAUGUGGUGCACAUUUCACAGAUUUAACUGCAAUUUCAGUUAAUAUUUAAGGUAUGUUUGCUUAGUCAUUUUUGUUUGUGCAGCUAUAUUGAUAACUGUUUUUGUUUUACUAUUCUCUCGUGGACAGCCAAGUAGCUGGGAGAUUUUGGUUCUGGGUUGCCAAACUCAACCUGGCACAAAGUGCCUUCAGAAAGUAUUCAGACCCCUGGACUUUUCCCAAAUUUUGUUACGUUACAGCCUUAUUCUAAUAUGGAUAAAAUCAUCCACCCCACCCCCCCUCAAUCAACACACAAUACCCCACAAUGAAAUAACAAAAACAGGUUGUCUCAUAGCAAAGGGGCUGAAUACUAAUGUAAAUAAGGUAUGUUUUUAUUUAAUACAUUUGCAGUAAAAA